This 253-nucleotide ribosomal RNA is filed under the name uncultured bacterium. RNAcentral's name for it is "partial 16S ribosomal RNA". It matches the Rfam family "Bacterial small subunit ribosomal RNA", at positions 524 to 776 of the family's 1533-position model. The record is from RNAcentral.
UACGGAGGAUGCAAGCGUUAUCCGGAUUCAUUGGGUUUAAAGGGUGCGUAGGCGGGUUUGUAAGUCAGUGGUGAAAGACUGUCGCUUAACGAUAGCAUUGCCAUUGAUACUGCAAGUCUUGAGUACAUUUGAGGUGGGCGGAAUGUGUAGUGUAGCGGUGAAAUGCUUAGAUAUUACACAGAACACCAAUUGCGAAGGCAGCUCACUAAACUGUAACUGACGCUGAGGCACGAAAGCGUGGGGAUCAAACAGG